AUUCAUCUCUUCAAAGCGAUAUUAUAAGAUCAGGCAACCAUCCUCAUCAACGAGGACGGUCAUCAGGAUACAUUGAUAGAAAGGGGUAUAGGGAGUCACAAAGGAUUACAAUCGCAGCACUGAACGCAACUGAGAGGAACAAAACAAAACAAAACAACCUCAUAAGGGAGCCGAGCAAUUCAUGCUCCAAAGGUGUAACCUCAAGUCGAAUGUCGGGUAGAACCACACAUCGAACAAGCUUGCCAUCUAUGCACCAAGGAAGAACCCAAAUGCGCACCAGAUAUGAAGACACCUCCUUCACGGUUAGACACCAAGCAACUAGGUAGCCCAAACUAAGGCAAGAGAGGUUGGCAACGUGCCAGGAUUAACCUUGACCUGAAUCACUCUUCACCGUGCCUUGGGAGACCGAGUAGUGCUAAGCACCUGCAGUUGCUCAUGGACGCUCGCAAUAAGCCAAAGCUUCUCAAGGUGCCACUCAGUUCAGCGCACAUCGACGCGCUCCACGGGGAAGGAUGCCCUGAAGGGGAGUGCCGCAUAGAAAUAGAGACAAGCAACAACCAAGUGAAGAGGAUGAAAGCGAAGCCGAAGCAAGCAAGGCCAGAUGGAGGUUGUCGAAACCAUGCGAAGGUGAAGCACCUCCCUGCGCACCAGGCGCAGCACUCUCGUUGCAAGGUAACCAAAUCCAGCAUCAUGCGGAGGUGGAGCACCUCCCCGCACACCAAGUGCGGCUCUCUCACUGCACGACCACUGGCACCCCAAGGCCGAGGCACCCACAGGCCAGCUCUCCUUCGAUGACCAUACUGGCCACGCCCAAAGGUUCGUGGAGUUGUUGCCACCGU
RNAcentral lists this long non-coding RNA (839 nucleotides) under Setaria viridis. RNAcentral describes it as "long non-coding RNA (SVIR_LNC005150)". Lineage: Eukaryota; Viridiplantae; Streptophyta; Magnoliopsida; Poales; Poaceae. The record is from RNAcentral.